Molecule: ribosomal RNA, 522 nt
Filed under: uncultured Glomeromycotina
Lineage: Eukaryota; Fungi; Glomeromycota
Description: SSU rRNA
Rfam family: Eukaryotic small subunit ribosomal RNA
Source: RNAcentral
AGCAGCCGCGGUAAUUCCAGCUCCAAUAGCGUAUAUUAAAGUUGUUGCAGUUAAAAAGCUCGUAGUUGAAUUUCGGGGUUAGUAGGUUGGUCAUGCCUCUGGUAUGUACUGGUCUCACUGAUUCCUCCUUUCUGAUGAACCUUAAUGCCAUUAAUUUGGUGUUUUGGGGAAUUUGGACUGUUACUUUGAAAAAAUUAGAGUGUUUAAAGCAAGCUAACGCUUGAAUACAUUAGCAUGGAAUAAUGAAAUAGGACGUUCGAUCCUAUUUUGUUGGUUUCUAGGAUUGACGUAAUGAUUAAUAGGGAUAGUUGGGGGCAUCAGUAUUCAAUUGUCAGAGGUGAAAUUCCUGGAUUUAUUGAAGACUAACUACUGCGAAAGCAUUUGCCAAGGAUGUUUUCAUUAAUCAAGAACGAAAGUUAGGGGAUCGAAGACGAUCAGAUACCGUCGUAGUCUUAACCAUAAACUAUGCCGACUAGGGAUCGGAUGAUGUUAAUUUUUUAAUGACUCAUUCGGCGCCUUACG